UUAGCGGAGAGUCUGAUCCCGGCUCAGGAUAAACGCUGGCGGCGUGCUUUAUGCAUGCAAGUCGAACGGUCUUUCCCUUCGGGGAAGGAUAGUGGCAAACGGGUGAGUAACGCGUAAGUAACCUGUCCCGAAGUGGGGAAUAACCCCGGGAAACCGGAGCUAAUACCGCAUAUGGUCCUUUCGGUAAGGCGGAAGGACUAAAGCCUUAGGGCGCUUGGGGAGGGGCUUGCGUCCGAUUAGCUAGUUGGUAGGGUAACGGUCUACCAAGGCGAUGAUCGGUAGCUGGUCUGAGAGGAUGGUCAGCCACACUGGGACUGCGACACGGCCCAGACUCCUACGGGAGGCAGCAGCAAGGAAUUUUGCGCAAUGGACGAAAGU
This 378-nucleotide ribosomal RNA is filed under the name Dehalococcoidales bacterium. RNAcentral's name for it is "bacterial SSU rRNA". It matches the Rfam family "Bacterial small subunit ribosomal RNA", at positions 1 to 382 of the family's 1533-position model. Lineage: Bacteria; Bacillati; Chloroflexota; Dehalococcoidia; Dehalococcoidales. The record is from RNAcentral.